AUGGAUCAGGUAAUGAUGCAGUUGGUAGAGUCAAGUUGGCAGUUUAUAAAGGACUCAAUUUGGCUGGUUAAAAGAUGCACCAAACCCAACAAAAAAGAAUUCCAGAAGAUCGCCAUGGCCACAGCUAUAGGAUUUGCUAUCAUGGGAUUCAUUGGUUUCUUCAUGAAACUGAUCCAUAUCCCUAUUAAUAACAUUAUUAUGGGUGGCUGA
RNAcentral lists this long non-coding RNA (210 nucleotides) under Mus musculus (house mouse). RNAcentral's name for it is "long non-coding RNA chr2:128606984-128607194". The record is from RNAcentral. Lineage: Eukaryota; Metazoa; Chordata; Mammalia; Rodentia; Muridae.